Molecule: ribosomal RNA, 378 nt
Filed under: uncultured Glomeromycotina
Lineage: Eukaryota; Fungi; Glomeromycota
Description: LSU rRNA
Source: RNAcentral
UUGAAAGGGAAACGAUUGAAGUCAGGUCGUACCAGCGGGAAAUCAACCUUUCGAGUGGGGGUUUUGGAGUUUUUUGAAGAGUGUCAAAACCUUUGAGAUUUCAAAAUAUUCGCUCUUUUGGUGUGCUUUCUCGUGGGUAGGUUAACAUCGAUUUUGAUCAUCAUAAAAAGAUUGGAGGAAUGUAGCUUCGAUCUUGUAUUGAAGUGUUAUAGCCUCUGGUAAAUGUGAUGAUUAGGAUCGAGGAUUGCAACGAAUACCCUUUUGGGCUAUCCGCCUGAUCUCUGAUACGUGGCCUUGGUAUCGAAAGCGUGCUUAUGGUAUUGAGGUAUUACGGUCAAAAGGUUAGAACGGAUUACAUUCGUUAAGGAUGUUGACGUA